CGCUUGCUUUGGCAGCACUCCACUAAAGUUGGAACAAUACAGAGAAGAUUAGCACGGCCCUGCACAGGGAUGACAGGCAAAUUCGUCAAGCGUUCUAUGCUCUC
This is a small nuclear RNA of Psammomys obesus (fat sand rat), 104 nucleotides long. Lineage: Eukaryota; Metazoa; Chordata; Mammalia; Rodentia; Muridae. The record is from RefSeq and is a predicted model, not a curated record.